AAGGCUUUUAAAGACACCGGAAAAACACCCAUGGAGCUGGAGGUGGCAAUUCACCGAAUUCAAAUCACUCUAACGAGCUGCAACAUAAAAUCCCUGGAGAAGAUGUGUGCUGACUUGAUCAGAGGAGCAAAGGAAAAGAAUCUCAGUGAAAGGAUCAGUUCGAAUGCCUACCAAGACUUUGAGAAUCACUACAAGAAAAACUUGUGGUCAAGGUUCUAAGACAUAGGAAUGUUUCCAUAGGAGAAUCCACAAGCAACUAAUUGACUUGCACAGUCCUUCUGAGAUUGUUAAGCAAAUUACUUCCAUCAGUACUGAGCCAGGAGUUGAGGUGCAAGUCACCACUGCAGAUGCUUAA
This 355-nucleotide long non-coding RNA is filed under the name Homo sapiens (human). RNAcentral describes it as "non-protein coding lnc-TIGD6-3:1". The record is from RNAcentral. Lineage: Eukaryota; Metazoa; Chordata; Mammalia; Primates; Hominidae.